GCGUCAGCACAUAUGCUAAAACUGGAACGAUACAGAGGUUAGCAUGGCCCCUGCGCAAGGAUGAUAUGCAAAUUUGUGAAGCAUUCCAUAUUAAA
Molecule: small nuclear RNA, 95 nt
Filed under: Bos grunniens (domestic yak)
Lineage: Eukaryota; Metazoa; Chordata; Mammalia; Artiodactyla; Bovidae
Also listed under: 1 other name
Source: RNAcentral